CUUACACAUGCAAGUCGAGUGCGCGUGCCGUAGCAAUACGGCAUGGCGCACGGCGCACGGGUGCGUAACACGUGGGCAAUCUGCCCUUCGAUGGGGAAUAACUCCGGGAAACCGAAGCUAAUUCCGCAUAACAUUCCCGGGACUCCGGUCUAGGGAUUCAAAGCCGUAAGGCGUCGAAGGAGGAGCCCGCGCCCGAUUAGCUAGUUGGUGAGGUCAUGGCUCACCAAGGCAAUGAUCGGUAGCCGGUCUGAGAGGAUGGCCAGCCACACUGGAACUGAGACACGGUCCAGACUCCUACGGGAGGCAGCAGUGGGGAAUCUUGCACAAUGGGCGAAAGCCUGAUGCAGCGACGCCGCGUGGGGGAUGAAGCAUCUCGGUGUGUAAACCCCUUUCGACUGGGACGAAUGCCUCGCAAGAGGAGUGACGGUACCAGUAGAAGAAGCCCCGGCUAACUACGUGCCAGCAGCCGCGGUAAGACGUAGGGGGCCAGCGUUGUUCGGAAUUACUGGGUGUAAAGGGUUCGUAGGCGGUGUGGCAAGUUGGGAGUGAAAUCUAUGGGCCCAACCCAUAGGCUGCUUCCAAAACUGCCGUGCUGGAGUGUGGGAGAGGCGCGUGGAAUUGCAGGUGUAGCGGUGAAAUGCGUAGAUAUCUGCAGGAACACCCGUGGCGAAAGCGGCGCGCUGGACCACUACUGACGCUGAGGAACGAAAGCUAGGGGAGCAAACAGGAUUAGAUACCCUGGUAGUCCUAGCCCUAAACGAUCAGGACUUGGGGUGCCGCCCAUUCGGGCGUCGUCCCGGAGCUAACGCGUUAAGUCCUGCACCUGGGGAGUACGGUCGCAAGACUGUAACUCAAAGAAUUGACGGGG
This 868-nucleotide ribosomal RNA is filed under the name uncultured bacterium. RNAcentral describes it as "bacterial SSU rRNA". It matches the Rfam family "Bacterial small subunit ribosomal RNA", at positions 48 to 918 of the family's 1533-position model. The record is from RNAcentral.